This 69-nucleotide transfer RNA is filed under the name Asio otus (long-eared owl). RNAcentral describes it as "tRNA-Ala". It matches the Rfam family "tRNA". From Rfam's summary of the family: Transfer RNA (tRNA) molecules are approximately 80 nucleotides in length. Lineage: Eukaryota; Metazoa; Chordata; Aves; Strigiformes; Strigidae. The record is from RNAcentral.
AAGGUCUUAGCUUAAUUAAAGCGUCUGAGUUGCAUUUAGAAGAUGCAGGUUAAUACCCUGUGGAUCUUA